This 406-nucleotide ribosomal RNA is filed under the name uncultured bacterium. Its description in RNAcentral is "partial 16S ribosomal RNA". It matches the Rfam family "Bacterial small subunit ribosomal RNA", at positions 30 to 526 of the family's 1533-position model. The record is from RNAcentral.
AUUGAACGCUGGCGGCAGGCCUAACACAUGCAAGUCGAGCGAGCGGCGGACGGGUGAGUAAUGUCUGGGAAACUGCCUGAUGGAGGGGGAUAACUACUGGAAACGGUAGCGAAUACCGCAUACCAUCAGAUGUGCCCAGAUGGGAUUAGGUAGUAGGUGGGGUAACGGCUCACCUGGGCGACGAUCCCUAGCUGGUCUGAGAGGAUGACCAGCCACUGUGGAACUGAUACAUGGUCCAGACGCCUACGGGAGGCAGCAGUGGUGAAUAUUGCACAAUGGGCUCAAGCCGGAUGCAGCCAUGCCGCGUGUGUAAAGAAUGCCUUCGGGUUGUAAAGCGCUUUCAGCGGGGAGGCGUUACCCGCAGUAGAAGCACCGGCUAACUCCGUGCCAGCAGCCGCGGUAAUUC